CCAUCUCCAUCUCCAUCUCCAUCUCCAUCCACCAUACCUCUCCACGUCCCCGAUCUCUUUCUUGUGUAUAUUUAUCGUUUUACCACCUUCUGAUGGGUUUAUGACUAUUUACGACAUAAGUGAUAGCUGUAUUUGUGGUUAACUUUGGUCCAUACGGGCCAUUCCCAAGGAUCCCCAGCCACCUUAUCUGCCAACCAAACUUCCUCCUCGGUUCGGGGUUUUGUAGCCCUAACUAAGAUCGAUCCUGCGCUAAAUGCUUCCCUGGUAAACAACAAACAACAACAACAACCACCUGCUGGAGGACAUAUAUAACCAUAUCUACCAUAUCUUCCGGAUCUACGAUACUCCAAAUAUCACUUGAACUUACUCAAUCCCUACUGACAUGAUACUCACCACUCUUUCAUAAUGCUGCGCAGCCUGCUCGGAAAGGCUACCGAUCCUCCGGUCUCCUCUACCAGCACCUCCAAGUCCCGCCGCCGUCAGAGAGACUCUGAUGACGUUUCCACCAUUUCUUCGUCUUCUCCCCGCCGUCGCAGAGGUG
Molecule: small RNA, 541 nt
Filed under: Histoplasma capsulatum
Lineage: Eukaryota; Fungi; Ascomycota; Eurotiomycetes; Onygenales; Ajellomycetaceae
Also listed under: 1 other name
Description: hypothetical RNA
Source: RNAcentral